UACGUAGGUGGCAAGCGUUGUCCGGAAUCACUGGGCGUAAAGCGCGCGCAGGCGGCGAUCUACGUCUGGGUGAAAGCCCGGAGCUCAACUCCGGACUGCCUUGGAUACGGGAUCGCUUGAGGAUUGGAGAGGCAAGGGGAAUUCCACGUGUAGCGGUGAAAUGCGUAGAUAUGUGGAGGAACACCUGUGGGCGAAGGCGCCUUGC
RNAcentral lists this ribosomal RNA (205 nucleotides) under uncultured bacterium. Its description in RNAcentral is "partial 16S ribosomal RNA". It matches the Rfam family "Bacterial small subunit ribosomal RNA", at positions 524 to 729 of the family's 1533-position model. The record is from RNAcentral.